UUGGGUUGUAAACCCCUUUUCUCAGGGAAGAAGAAAGUGACGGUACCUGAGGAAUCAGCCUCGGCUAACUCCGUGCCAGCAGCCGCGGUAAUACGGAGGAGGCAAGCGUUAUCCGGAAUGAUUGGGCGUAAAGCGUCUGUAGGUGGCUAUUCAAGUCUGCUGUCAAAGCCUGAGGCUCAACCUCAGAUCGGCAGUGGAAACUGGGUAGCUUGAGUGCGGUAGGGGCAGAGGGAAUUCCCGGUGUAGCGGUGAAAUGCGUAGAGAUCGGGAAGAACACCGGUGGCGAAAGCGCUCUGCUGGGCCGCAACUGACACUGAGGGACGAAAGCUAGGGGAGCGAAUGGGAUUAGAUACCCCAGUAGUCCUAGCCGUAAACGAUGGAAACUAGGUGUUGCCUGUAUCGACCCGGGCAGUGCCGUAGCUAACGCGUUAAGUUUCCCGCCUGGGGAGUACGCACGCAAGUGUGAAACUCAAAGGAAUUGACGGGGGCCCGCACAAGCGGUGGAGUAUGUGGUUUAAUUCGAUGCAACGCGAAGAACCUUACCAGGGCUUGACAUGUCCGGAAGCCUGGGGAAACCCGGGUGUGCCUUCGGGAACCGGAACACAGGUGGUGCAUGGCUGUCGUCAGCUCGUGUCGUGAGAUGUUGGGUUAAGUCCCGCAACGAGCGCAACCCUCGUUCUUAGUUGCCAGCAUUAAGUUGGGCACUCUAGGGAGACUGCCGGUGACAAACCGGAGGAAGGUGGGGAUGACGUCAAGUCAUCAUGCCCCUUACGUCCUGGGCUACACACGUACUACAAUGGGGAGGACAGAGGGCAGCCACUUCGCGAGAAGGAGCUAAUCCCGAAAACCUUUCCUCAGUUCAGAUUGCAGGCUGCAACUCGCCUGCAUGAAGGAGGAAUCGCUAGUAAUCGCAGGUCAGCAUAUUGCGGUGAAUCCGUUCCCGGGCCUUGUACACACCGCCCGUCACACCAUGGAAGUUAGCCCGGCCCGAAGUCAUUACUC
This 1002-nucleotide ribosomal RNA is filed under the name Sirenicapillaria stauglerae BLCC-M138. RNAcentral's name for it is "bacterial SSU rRNA". It matches the Rfam family "Bacterial small subunit ribosomal RNA", at positions 418 to 1435 of the family's 1533-position model. The record is from RNAcentral. Lineage: Bacteria; Bacillati; Cyanobacteriota; Cyanophyceae; Oscillatoriales; Sirenicapillariaceae.